This 253-nucleotide ribosomal RNA is filed under the name uncultured bacterium. Its description in RNAcentral is "partial 16S ribosomal RNA". It matches the Rfam family "Bacterial small subunit ribosomal RNA", at positions 524 to 776 of the family's 1533-position model. The record is from RNAcentral.
UACGGAGGAUGCAAGCGUUAUCCGGAAUUAUUGGGCGUAAAGCGUCCGCAGGUGGCUGUGUAAGUCUGCUGUUAAAGAGUGAGGCUCAACCUCAUAAAAGCAGUGGAAACUACACGGCUAGAGUGCGUUCGGGGCAGAGGGAAUUCCUGGUGUAGCGGUGAAAUGCGCAGAUAUCAGGAGGAACACCGGUGGCGAAGGCGGGUCUCUGGGCAACAACUGACGCUGAGGAGCGAAAGCGUGGGGAGCGAACAGG